UACGUAGGGGGCUAGCGUUGUCCGGAAUCAUUGGGCGUAAAGAGCGUGUAGGCGGUCCGGUAAGUCCGCUGUGAAAGUCGGGGGCUCAACCCUCGAAUGCCGGUGGAUACUGUCGGGCUAGAGUGCGGAAGAGGCGAGUGGAAUUCCUGGUGUAGCGGUGAAAUGCGUAGAGAUCGGGAAGAACAUCGGUGGCGAAAGCGCUCUACUGGACCGCAACUGACACUCAGGGACGAAAGCUAGGGGAGCGAAUGGG
This 253-nucleotide ribosomal RNA is filed under the name uncultured bacterium. Its description in RNAcentral is "partial 16S ribosomal RNA". It matches the Rfam family "Bacterial small subunit ribosomal RNA", at positions 524 to 776 of the family's 1533-position model. The record is from RNAcentral.